Lactuca sativa (garden lettuce) is the source of this 2133-nucleotide non-coding RNA. Lineage: Eukaryota; Viridiplantae; Streptophyta; Magnoliopsida; Asterales; Asteraceae. The record is from RefSeq and is a predicted model, not a curated record.
UAUUACACUACACCCUAUCACCUUACCCUAAUCUCCUAAACCCACAACAACCGCCAUUAAAAAAAUUCUCAUCGGUCUCCACUAAAGAUGCAAUUGACGCCUGGAAGUCCAUCUUUUCCGUCACACACAAGUAACCCUAACCCUAUCCUGCCGCCAUGAUCAACCACGAUCAACGAUUUGGGGGAACAACAAGCAAAUUUGAUCCGGGAAUUCAGAGCUUUUAGUUCUUAUUCUCGAAGAUCUCUCCGGACGGCCGUUAGUUCAUCAUCUGCCACGAUGGGCCCAUCUGAAGCUUCGGUGGCAAGAUCGAAUUUUUCAUGCGCGUCACCACCAAAGUUUGAUACCGAUUUCAAGGAUGUAGCUGUUGCUGGUAGACAUACAUGUAUAUGCAACAUGUGGUCUGUACAUCUACCAAUGAUUUGCAGGAGGGAACUUAUAAACAAGACCACAAAUCUUCAUCUAUGUUUUCAUAUCAUUUCUGCCAAUCUAUUAACAUGCAAUCUCUGUUUUCCUUUCUAGCUCUUCACUCAAUAAUAAUUUCUACCAAUAAUAAUAUGUUUUCAUCUCAUUUCGUUUCUACCAAUCUAUUAACAACUGUUCCCUGAUCAGAAAAAGCAUAGUAGCUGUUCUUGUUUUUCCAUCACCAGUUCCCAUCUUUUAUUACUACCAAAAAAUUGUAUAACUCUUCUUUAUAAUUCUUAUGUUUUUUGACUUGUUGACUAUGCAUACCAAAAGAAAUCACACUUUGCUUUCGGGAUCCAUGAGCCAUAUUUCACCAACUUAUGCUAAUAUUUUAAGUUAUUUUUACAAAAGAAAAAAAAUCUACCUGUAUUCAACAUCAUAACAUGCUCUUGGUGUUUUGCUUUAUAUUUUUCAUACUUUGAUAUUCUUUGAUUCUCUUGAUUCAACACAAAAAGAAUAAUUGGGUUUGUUCACUAAUUUUUCCAUAUCUUAUAUUUCCUCAAGUUUUAUUUUUCAAAUUUUUAUUUUCAAUGUUUUCUUGUGUGUUAAAGGACCUGGUGGUAGUGCCGCUUGCACCCUUCGACGAUCCACUGCCAUAGGUGUCAUCAUCGGAGCCAUACGGUGUUGCCUUCAAACACUUUCUAGGUAUUGUUCCUCUCUAUUGGAUUUUAUAUUUUUAUCUCUUUUCCUUUCCUUGUUGUUUCCGCUGUAAUCAAUAUGUUCCCUUCAAUAUAGUUGAGAAGUUUCGUUUUUGAUACAAUAUUCCAAUUUAGAUUCACGAUUUUAGCCAGAAAUUUGUCAAUUAACCACUCAUAGAUAAUUCAUUUUUUCUAUGAUGUGGUGUCUCUGAUUAUGUAUAAUAUAUAUAAAGGAGGUGAAGGAUGGAGGAAUGAGAAUUCGGAAGGAUUAGAGGAGUUAUCUGUUAAAAAGGGGAAUAACACGAACAGUUGAAACACAACAAUUAACGGUUCAAAUUUUAUUCAUCAUCUAUUAUAAUUGAUUAUUUAUAGAGUCAAUCGACAUAAUGCUCAUAUAAUGAAAUUAUAGUUGAUUUUAAGACAGCUGGACACAAUUUGAAAACUCAUACGCCCCCAUACUUAAAGGUCAAAUGGUUGGUGCAUUUAUACAAGUUUAUAUUUCCUUCUACAUUUAAAAAUGUUUCAAAUUUUUUUUAGUAAUUUUAAAAUUUUAUUUUCUUUGUAGAUGCCUGAAUUUUAGGUCAUAAAACAAACCUAGCACAAAAUAACAAAGUUACAUAUUUGAUAUUCUGAAACAGAAUAAGAAACUACUCUCAAGUUUCAAAUGUCAAAUGAAAAGGUAACAUCCAGAUUUUAGCCUAUGUCCUUACUCAUGUUGAUUUUUGUUCUUCUAUUGUACUUUCCUUUUUGUUUUCCUUUCGUAUCUGGUGGUUCUUGAGUGAUUAAUAUCUUUACAACCCUCCCCCAAGGUUUCAAGUUCUCAAUAUGGCUGUAAGAGGAACAAUUUCAAAUAGGUGGGUGGUAUUAUGACCAGUUAGUGUUUUCUUAAUGCAAGGUGAACAAGGCAUUUGAAUGUGGUGGAGUUAUGGUUACAUGUAUGUGGAAUUAUGGUCAUAGGGUGAAUGUAGAUUUGAUUUCGGUGUACUCAAUAUCAUAUCUAAGUUGUUUUAUAAAUUCAACCUCUUAUUCUUUU